Neofelis nebulosa (Clouded leopard) is the source of this 1502-nucleotide long non-coding RNA. RefSeq lists it as uncharacterized. Lineage: Eukaryota; Metazoa; Chordata; Mammalia; Carnivora; Felidae. The record is from RefSeq and is a predicted model, not a curated record. The transcript is spliced from 3 exons.
UAUGGUGAGGAUCAAACAAGUUGAGACAAGAUUUUCUGAAAGUACUGUGCAAACUUUCAGCCCGUAAAUAUUAAGGGACUGUUAUCACAUACUGCUCAGGAAAUAACAGCACCUGGGAAAACCCACAGAGCGUGGUUUUGUAAGAAGUUGCUCAGCCCUCAAGGGAGAAAUGCCAGGCUCAACAUUGGCCAAGAGGAACAGAUCUGGGAAAUUACGACAUGAGAACAGUCAUCUUACCCAGAGUCCAGUUCGGGGAGUCAUUGUGCUUUCCCAGAAAGAUCCUGAUUCUCUCGGUUUAAACCUGAGCUUUGUGACUUUCCAGUUGAGUUGGGAGGUGGAGAAAGGACUCUAUUCAUGUAGUCGUUCAUGGACCUAAGAUGAAGACAACUCUAUCUUCUUCAUUACAUGCCUUACAUGGACGCUCCAGUUAUCAGCAUUGCAAGCAGCGGAAGGAGAAAGGAUCUCAUAACAUGUUAUACAUCAGACCCAGAAAGAAAACAGCAAUCAUUUCUGCAUACUUGAUAUUGGCUAAAACCCAGUCAUGUGGCCCCAGAUAAAUGAAGAGAAGCUUGAUAAAUGUGGUCUAGUGAAAGAGGAGAAUGUAUUUUGAUAGGUAGUUACCAGUCUCCGCCACAGUUAUUCACAUUUAAAACCUACAGAUUACACACACACACACACACACACACACACACACACACCAAUGUCUAAGUUCUACCAAAUGGAAAUAUCUGGAAAUUUUGGUUGAACGCCACAUGGCAACAAUUUCCUAGAGUCAGGUUGUAGUUUUCCUUUGCAAAGUGCAUGUUCACUCUGGUUGCUAUCAUUCUCACCACUUGUGUUUUUGCCCCAAAUCCAAUCCUACUUUACUUCAUCUAGACAUGAUCAACACAUGCUUGAAGAGAUUAUAGUUGGGUGUUCUCUUAGCUAAUGUCAUUAGGACCAAUAUUUGUUUAGUUCAUCAAAAAAAAUAAAUAAAUAAAAAUAGGCAAAUCAGGGAAUAAUAGUUAAAACAAAAAAGUUUUUUUUGGAUGUUCUAUACUAUCCUAAAGCGUAUUAAUUUACUUUUAUUUGUUACAUUUAUAAUCUUGGGUCAAAGUCUUUUCUUUAUGUCUACCAAUUGGAUCUUAGAGUUAUCUUUUUUUGUACAAAUCUCACACAUAAUAACAUCCUUACAACAUUCUUCUGUCCUUAAGGGAGAAUUUAAAGACAUUUUGAUGGUGAUUUUCUGAGGGAAAAAUCCUUCAGGUUUUGAUGAUUUUCUCCUUGUCAUUGCCAAUUGUCUCAUUCAUACCUAACUUUUAGUGACUUGCCUUUACUGAAUUGUUCCAAAAUAUUCAAAUUAGUUAUCAUAGAAACAAUAACUUCUUUUUAUUUUACACUCAUAUUUCAUUGGGUAAAAUAUUUUAAAAAAUCAUGUAAUUAUAAUAACAAGUACAUUUGUCAUAAAUAAGUUUGAAGACAAACACAACUGACUCUUGGUAAAUAUAUUAUUUAAAAUACAG